Molecule: ribosomal RNA, 255 nt
Filed under: uncultured bacterium
Lineage: Bacteria
Description: partial 16S ribosomal RNA
Rfam family: Bacterial small subunit ribosomal RNA
Source: RNAcentral
UACGAAGGGGGCUAGCGUUGUUCGGAUUUACUGGGCGUAAAGCGCACGUAGGCGGAUCGUUAAGUCGGGGGGUGAAAUCCUGGAGCUCAACUCCAGAACUGCCUUCGAUACUGGCGAUCUUGAGUCCGGAAGAGGUGAGUGGAACUCCUAGUGUAGAGGUGGAAUUCGUAGAUAUUAGGAAGAACACCAGUGGCGAAAGGCGGCUCACUGGUCCGGUACUGACGCUGAGGUGCGAAAGCGUGGGGAGCAAACAGG